RNAcentral lists this ribosomal RNA (373 nucleotides) under uncultured organism. RNAcentral describes it as "bacterial SSU rRNA". It matches the Rfam family "Bacterial small subunit ribosomal RNA", at positions 526 to 896 of the family's 1533-position model. The record is from RNAcentral.
CGUAGGGUGCGAGCGUUGUCCGGGAUUACUGGGCGUAAAGAGCUCGUAGGUGGUUUGUCGCGUUGUUCGUGAAAACUCACAACUCAAUUGUGGGCGUGCGGGCGAUACGGGCAGACUGGAGUACUGCAGGGGAGACUGGAAUUCCUGGUGUAGCGGUGGAAUGCGCAGAUAUCAGGAGGAACACCGGUGGCGAAGGCGGGUCUCUGGGCAGUAACUGACGCUGAGGAGCGAAAGCGUGGGGAGCGAACAGGAUUAGAUACCCUGGUAGUCCACGCCGUAAACGGUGGGUACUAGGUGUGGGUUUCCUUCCUUGGGAUCCGUGCCGUAGCUAACGCAUUAAGUACCCCGCCUGGGGAGUACGGCCGCAAGGCUA